CAGGUUCCAGUCAUUCUUACAUGAUGAAGGGGAUAUGCAGGUCACUGGGUUUCAUUCUCUCCUCUCAAGUACGCAAGAAAUAGCACCUCUUGGGUCACACUUCCUUGAAAAUUCUGAGAAUAUGGUCACAUCUACACACUGCUCUUGAAGAGAACGUGACUUCCAAGAUGGCCUUCAGUUUACACCUAGUUUAAGACAGUAUCUGUUAUUUGUCCUUGUUAGAAGUGAUGGAUUAGUCUUUUCCGAGAGAUUCAGAUAGACAAGACACAGAAAUGUAAUGUACUAUUGAUUUUUCUUUUUUUAUGAAUUCAAAAACAGAUAACCUUUCAAUAAAAACUUGAUGGAAGACCAUA
Suricata suricatta (meerkat) is the source of this 353-nucleotide long non-coding RNA. RefSeq lists it as uncharacterized. The transcript has 2 exons. NCBI's taxonomy places the organism in Eukaryota, Metazoa, Chordata, Mammalia, Carnivora, Herpestidae. The record is from RefSeq and is a predicted model, not a curated record.